Molecule: ribosomal RNA, 305 nt
Filed under: uncultured bacterium
Lineage: Bacteria
Description: bacterial SSU rRNA
Rfam family: Bacterial small subunit ribosomal RNA
Source: RNAcentral
CCUACGGGGCGCAGCAGUGAGGAAUAUUGGCCAAUGGCCGAGAGGCUGAACCAGCCAAGUCGCGUGAGGGAUGACGGCCCUACGGGUUGUAAACCUCUUUAGGCGGGGAGCAAUGCCGGGCACGUGUGCCCGGAGGGAGAGUACCCGCAGAAUAAGCAUCGGCUAACUCCGUGCCAGCAGCCGCGGUAAUACGGAGGAUGCGAGCGUUAUCCGGAUUUAUUGGGUUUAAAGGGUGCGUAGGCGGAUUUUUAAGUCAGCGGUAAAAUGUCCGGGCUCAACCCGGGCCGGCCGUUGAAACUGGGGCU